GACGAACGCUGGCGGCGUGCCUAAUACAUGCAAGUCGAGCGAACAGAUGAGGAGUUUGUCCCUCUGAUGUUAGCGGCGGAGGGGUGAGUAACACGUGGAUAACCUACCUAAAAGCCUGGGAUAACUCCGGGAACCCGGAGCUAAUACGGGAUAAUAUGUCGCUCCGAAUGGGUCAACCGUGAAAGUCGGUUUUGCCGUCCACUAACGAUGGAUCCGCGCCGCAUUAGCUAGUUGGUAAGGUAACGGCUUACCAAGGCAACGAUGCGUAGCCGACCUGAGAGGGUGAUCGGCCACACUGGAACUGAGACACGGUCCAGACUCCUACGGGAGGCAGCAGUAGGGAAUCUUCCGCAAUGGACGAAAGCCUGACGGAGCAACGCCGCGUGAGUGAAGAAGGUCUUCGGAUCGUAAAACUCUGUUAUUAGGGAAGAACAAAUAUCUAAGUAACUGUGCACAUCUUGACGGUACCUGAUCAGAAAGCCACGGCUAACUACGUG
Molecule: ribosomal RNA, 497 nt
Filed under: uncultured bacterium
Lineage: Bacteria
Description: partial 16S ribosomal RNA
Rfam family: Bacterial small subunit ribosomal RNA
Source: RNAcentral